This 62-nucleotide transfer RNA is filed under the name Amphimerus sp. JM-2019. RNAcentral's name for it is "tRNA-Gln". Lineage: Eukaryota; Metazoa; Platyhelminthes; Trematoda; Opisthorchiida; Opisthorchiidae. The record is from RNAcentral.
UACAGCUGGGUGUUUUAGCAUUUCAUGUUUUGGUCGUGAGGGGAAUUUGAUGUUAGCUGUAG